RNAcentral lists this ribosomal RNA (480 nucleotides) under Porphyromonas endodontalis. RNAcentral's name for it is "bacterial SSU rRNA". It matches the Rfam family "Bacterial small subunit ribosomal RNA", at positions 28 to 496 of the family's 1533-position model. Lineage: Bacteria; Pseudomonadati; Bacteroidota; Bacteroidia; Bacteroidales; Porphyromonadaceae. The record is from RNAcentral.
GAUGAACGCUAGCGAUAGGCUUAACACAUGCAAGUCGAGGGGCAGCAUUAUUUUAGCUUGCUAAGAUAGAUGGCGACCGGCGCACGGGUGCGUAACGCGUAUGCAACCUGCCUGUAAUUAGGGAAUAACCCGGUGAAAGUCGGACUAAUACCCUAUAUUCUUCUUUCUCCGCAUGGAGGAGGACGGAAAGAUUUAUUGAUUACAGAUGGGCAUGCGUCCCAUUAGCUAGUUGGUAAGGUAACGGCUUACCAAGGCAACGAUGGGUAGGGGGACUGAGAGGUUGACCCCCCACACUGGUACUGAGACACGGACCAGACUCCUACGGGAGGCAGCAGUGAGGAAUAUUGGUCAAUGGGCGAGAGCCUGAACCAGCCAAGUCGCGUGAAGGACGACGGUUCUAUGGAUUGUAAACUUCUUUUGUAGAGGAAUAACGGCAGCUACGUGUAGCUGAGAUGCAUGUACUCUACGAAUAAGUAUCGG